Molecule: ribosomal RNA, 269 nt
Filed under: uncultured Lachnospiraceae bacterium
Lineage: Bacteria; Bacillati; Bacillota; Clostridia; Lachnospirales; Lachnospiraceae
Description: partial 16S ribosomal RNA
Rfam family: Bacterial small subunit ribosomal RNA
Source: RNAcentral
AUUGAAGCCUAGCGAUAUGUAAGUUAGUGGCGGACGGGUGAGUAACGCGUGGGUAACCUGCCUUGUACUGGGGGACAACAGUUGGAAACGACUGCUAAUACCGCAUAAGCGCACAGCUUCGCAUGAAGCAGUGUGAAAACUCCGGUGGUACAAGAUGGACCCGCGUCUGAUUAGCUAGUUGGCAGGGCAACGGCCUACCAAGGCGACGAUCAGUAGCCGACCUGAGAGGGUGACCGGCCACAUUGGGACUGAGACACGGCCCAAACUCC